UGCGGCUGUGUCAAAUUCAGUGCCUGCCCCACCCGGGCAGAACCUGGCCCCGGAAGGCGGCUGCGACACUGACAUUAUGACCCAUGACCCUAAUCCCCAGCCCUGGACCACAGGGAUGAAUUUGUAUACAGACACUA
Molecule: small nucleolar RNA, 137 nt
Organism: Sorex araneus (European shrew)
Lineage: Eukaryota; Metazoa; Chordata; Mammalia; Eulipotyphla; Soricidae
Source: Ensembl